GAUGAACGCUAGCUACAGGCUUAACACAUGCAAGUCGAGGGGUAACGAGAGGGAAGCUUGCUUUCCUUGUCGACGACCGGCGCACGGGUGAGUAACGCGUAUCCAACCUGCCCCCAACUAGGGAAUAACCUUGCGAAAGUAAGACUAAUACCCUAUAAUUUCCUCAGAUGUCAUCUGACGAGGAAUAAAGAUUUAUCGGUUGUGGAUGGGGAUGCGUCUGAUUAGCUUGUUGGCGGGGUAACGGCCCACCAAGGCAACGAUCAGUAGGGGUUCUCAGAGGAAGUGCCCCCACAUUGGAACGGGGACACGGACCAAACUCCUACGGGAGGCAGCAGUGAGGAGUAUGGGUCAAGGGGCGGAAGCCUGAAUCAGCCAAGUAGCGGGCAGGAUGACGGCCCUAUGGGUUGUAAACUGCCUUUAUACAGGAAUAAAGUUAGCCACGUGUGGUUAUUUGUAGGUACUGUAUGAAUAAGGGCCGGCUAAUUCCGUGCCAGCAGCCGCCGUAA
RNAcentral lists this ribosomal RNA (506 nucleotides) under uncultured bacterium. RNAcentral's name for it is "partial 16S ribosomal RNA". It matches the Rfam family "Bacterial small subunit ribosomal RNA", at positions 28 to 523 of the family's 1533-position model. The record is from RNAcentral.